This 271-nucleotide long non-coding RNA is filed under the name Manihot esculenta (cassava). Its description in RNAcentral is "long non-coding RNA (MESC_LNC004228)". Lineage: Eukaryota; Viridiplantae; Streptophyta; Magnoliopsida; Malpighiales; Euphorbiaceae. The record is from RNAcentral.
GUAGAAGGAGCUCGAGCUGCCAAAGACACGCCGACCUGAGGAGGAAGUUGCUAGUCUGGUCGAGCUCCAAGAAGUGAGGUCGGCGCGACGCGGAAAUGGGCCAAUGGACAGACGUGAUGGUGGCAAAGAUGCAUCGAUCUGGUGAGGAAGUCGCCGGUCUGGUCGAGCUCCAAGAAGUGAGGUCGGCAUGACCAGGUAGCAAUCCGACCCUGUAGGUCGGCGCGGAAAUGAACAAUGUCGGUACUGCCGAUUUCGUCGCCAUCGAUCUUGG